Molecule: long non-coding RNA, 814 nt
Organism: Culex quinquefasciatus (southern house mosquito)
Lineage: Eukaryota; Metazoa; Arthropoda; Insecta; Diptera; Culicidae
Exons: 2
Source: RefSeq, a predicted model, not a curated record
CUAACCCUGGUCAACACGGGCUGACAGAUCAACUAUGGUUGACGUCUAGAGAUGAGAAGAGUGAGUGAGUGACAAUCAGCGUGUAACGCGGUCGGGCACGCGAGUGGUGGCGGCAAUAAAUAUGAUUAUUAGCCGCCAGUGAUUUGUUUUAUUUUCAAUCCGGGGUAUUUACCUGGCUCAGUGACUACAUUGGCGACGAGGAGAAAACAUAUUUUGUUUCAUUAGCAACAGGUCACAGGAGGAGAGGUUUUGCCAGCACACGUAGUUCGUUCGGAGAGGUCUUACUGCGUUAGGCCGAAUUCCGCGUGAACAACACACAGAGGAGAAGGAUGAACCACGAGCUAGUGCAGCUCAACGGCAAACCGGGUUUUCAGAGAGUCACCUGGGAUUACCGGAUCCUUUGGGUAGUGCGCAUGGCAAGAGAGCCAGGCGGGCGGGGUGCCGACCUGGACGGAGUGUGUGCGGCCCGGAGCCGAGUUGGCUGGCGGCUCACCUGGAUACUGCUGAUGAACUAAGGGAUGUCCUUAAGAUUUGAAGGAGGAUGGUUGCAAGAUAGGGUUCUGUUUGGGGGUGCGAAGUUGUCUUCGUAUUCCAGAAUGUCAGGUUGACGGACCCAAUUCCGUUAUAAUUAGAUUGUACAAAUAGUUAGGAGUUGUGGUAAGUAAUUUUGGAGACGCUGCUUUAUGGGGUUGAUUAAAUGCUGGGGAAUGUGUGAAGGAGUAUUGAUGCAGGGGGCUCUGAUUGAUAGGCACCGUGAAAUUGUUAAUAAUCGGUAACUCCAUAAGACAAUAAAUGAGAAAUAAUUUAUAUUCAA